Neofelis nebulosa (Clouded leopard) is the source of this 1935-nucleotide long non-coding RNA. RefSeq lists it as uncharacterized. NCBI's taxonomy places the organism in Eukaryota, Metazoa, Chordata, Mammalia, Carnivora, Felidae. The record is from RefSeq and is a predicted model, not a curated record. The transcript is spliced from 3 exons.
UAAAACACUCAGGGAAAAUAUCCUGACGAAAGGACUUUGUGUAUAUAUAUUUUAUUCAAAUAGAUGAAAAUUAAUUUUAUAGAUAAAAAUGCUUAAAUACACAUAGUUUUGCAAGACCUUUCACUUGGAGUAACAAAAUAACCCAUGUGUGAAAGGCCAGUGUUAGAUGUUUACCUUUUAGCUAAUUGUCUUGAGAGCAGAUGGAUUUCUACUAAAUCUCCUAGUUUUAAGACAGACAUCAGGGGUUUCCCAGACUCUUGUCGUCAACUGCUCCAGCCCUCUGGUGGCCUCUGCCACCACCCUAGGCUCCAGGGAGCUGACUCUGCCAUUUCACUUCAAUCUCUGUCAUUUGGCUAAAAGGAAUCCUUUCCUUCGCUAGGUCUCCCUUCCCUGGGUCUUCCUUCCCUAGGUCUUUCUUUCUCUAGAUCUUUCCUUCUCUGUGUCUCCCUUCUCCUGGUCUCCCUUCUCUAGGUCUCCCUUCUCUUGUUCUCCCUUCUCUAGGUCUUUCCUUCUCUGGGUCUCCCUUUUCCUGGUCUCCCUUGUCUAGGUCCCCUUCUGUAGCUCUCCCUUCUCUAGGUCUCCCUUCUCUACAUCUUUCCUUCUUUAGGUCUGCCUUCUCUAGUUCUCCAUUCUCUAGGUCUUUCCUUCUCUAGGUCUCCCUUUCCUGGGUCUCCCUUCUCCUGGUCUCCCUUCUCUAGGUCUCCCCUUCUCUAGCUCUCCCUUCUCUAGUUCUCCCUUCUCUAGGGCUUUCCUUCUCUAGGUCUUCCUUCCCUAGGUCUCCCUUCUCUAGGUCUUUCUUUCUCUAGAUCUUUCUUUCUCUGGGUCUCCUUUCUCCUGGUCUCCCUUCUCUAGGUCUCCCCUUCUCUAGCGCUCCCUUCACUAGGUUUCCCUUCUCUAGGUCUCCCUUUUUUAGGUCUUUCCUUCUUUAGGUCUCCCCUUCUCUAGUUCUCCCUUCUCUAGGUCUUUCCUUCUCUAGGUCUCCCUUCCCUAGGUCUCCCUUCUCUAGGUCUUUCUUUCUCUAGAUCUUUCCUUCUCUGGGCCUCCUUUCUCCUGGUCUCCCUUCUUUAAGUCUCCCCUUCUCUAGGUCUCCCCUUCUCUAGGUCUCCCUUCUCUGGGUCUACCUUCUCUAGUUCUCCCUUCUCUAGGUCUUUCCUUCUCUAGGUCUCCCUUCUCUAGUUUUCCCUUCUCUAGGUCUUUCCUUCUCUGGGUCUCCCUUCUCCUGGUCUCCCUUCUCUAGGUCUCCCCUUCUCUAGGUCUUCCCUUCUCUAGGUCUCCCUUUUCUAGGUCUUUCCUUCUUUAGGUCUCCCUUCUCUAGUUCUCCCUUCUCUAGGUCUUUCCUUCUCUAGGUCUCCCUUCUCUAGUUUUCCCUUCUCUAGGUCUUUCCUUCUCUAGGUCUUUCCUUCUCUAGUUCUUCCUUCUCUGUGUCUCCCUUCUCUAGGUCUUUCCUUCUCUGGGUCUCCCUUCUCCUGGUCUCCCUUCUCUAGGUCUCCCCUUCUCUAGCUCUCCCUUCUCUAGAUCUUUCCUUCUCUAGCUCUCCCUUCUCUAGUUCUCCCUCCUCCAGGUCUUUCAUUCUCUAGGUCUCCCUUCUCUAGGUCUGACUCUUGCCUCCCCCUUCCAGCUCCAACCCAGGGCAGAUUUGACCAUUGUAUUAAUCAUGUCUUUUUAGUCUGUAUUUUUUUUCAUUUUUAUUUUUUAUUAAAAAAUUUAAUGUUUAUUUCUUUUUGAGAGAGAGAGAGAGAGAGAAAGAGAGACAGCACAAGCAGGGGAGAGCCAAGAGAGAGGGAGACACAGAAUCUGAAGCAGACUCCAGGCUCUGAGCUGUCAGCACAGAGCCCCACAUGGGGCUCGAACUCAGAAGCCAUGAGAUCAUGACCUGAGCUGAAGUUGGAUGCUUAACCAACUGAGCCACCCAGAUGCCCCUUUUUAAAUUUUUUA